UGUGGGUAACCUGCCUUAUAGUGGGGGAUAGCCUUUCGAAAGGAAGAUUAAUACCGCAUAAGAUUGUAGUAUCGCAUGAUAUAGCAAUUAAAGGAGCAAUCCGCUAUAAGAUGGACCCGCGUCGCAUUAGCUAGUUGGUGAGGUAAUGGCUCACCAAGGCGACGAUGCGUAGCCGACCUGAGAGGGUGAUCGGCCACAUUGGGACUGAGACACGGCCCAGACUCCUACGGGAGGCAGCAUG
RNAcentral lists this ribosomal RNA (241 nucleotides) under uncultured bacterium. RNAcentral's name for it is "partial 16S ribosomal RNA". It matches the Rfam family "Bacterial small subunit ribosomal RNA", at positions 116 to 353 of the family's 1533-position model. The record is from RNAcentral.